Aegilops tauschii subsp. strangulata is the source of this 3068-nucleotide long non-coding RNA. RefSeq lists it as uncharacterized. The record is from RefSeq and is a predicted model, not a curated record. Lineage: Eukaryota; Viridiplantae; Streptophyta; Magnoliopsida; Poales; Poaceae.
ACCGCGGGCCCCGUUUGGCCAGCUCUGCUCCCACUCUCCAGUGGCGGCCCCACGCGUGCUCUGCCCCCCUCCUCCUGCUUCUCGUCAUUGCCGUCCUCGACCGAGGAGGAGGCCCGGCGCUGGCGGCGCUCAAGGCACGCUGGACCAGACGAGCCGGGUGCUGGGCUCGUGGGACCCGGCCGGGUGAUCAAUGCGGCGGCUCCUUCAUCAGCCUCACCUGCGACCGCGGCGCGCGCGGCACAGCCAUCUCGCUGCAGGGCCGCAAGCUCUCGUCACCCUCCCGCCGGCAGUCGCGGAGCUCCGCCCCUCGCUAAACUUGCUAUUCUAGCACUGCAGUCCAAUCAAUUGACUGGAGCCAUUCCCUCAACCCUCGGCAACCUAAUUCAGCUGACAGGGCAGAUUUGAGCUUCAACAGCCUAUUUGGCUUGAUCCCUUUAGAGAUUGCAGAUGUUUUGUUGCUCGAGCUCUUUGAUGUUCGCAAAGCAGUGCCCCUGUGACUGUUCUCACAGGCAGAAGGGCUGUCCCACAAGUGAAAGUAGGCACAGCGGGCAGCGACCUCGAAUGCCUGAUAGACCUAAACCUCGGCAGGCAGAUCUUGGAGCUCUAUAGGGUGGGUUCUGACAGUUGGUUAACAAGGCCAAGUCGGCCAUAUUCUUCAGUGCCAAUUGCUCAAAUGAUGACAAGGUGGUGAUUCAUUAAACUAUGGAUAUUGAAGCAGAAGCACUGGCUGAGAGAUAUUUGGGUCUUCCAAUUGCCUUGGGAUGAUCGACAUGGGAUAAUUUUGAUCAUAUUGCAACGAGUAUCAAGAAACUGGUUAAUGGGUGGUCUCCUAAGCUCACGAAUAGUGUGGCUAGGGAGGUUCUGAUCAGAUCUAUUUGUCAAGCAAUCCCUACAUAUUGCAUGAGUUGCUUUGUCAAAGAAAACUUGUAAGAAGAUUAUCAGUAUUAUUGCAAGGUACUGGUGGGGAGGAGAUGAACAUAGAAGGAAGAUGCACUGGCAGAAAUGGGAAGAUAUCGCUAUCCCCAAGUGCGUGGGGGGCGCAUGGGCUUCCCGGAUUUUCAUUUGUUCAAUCAGGACAUGCUUGCCAAGCAAGGAUGGAGGCUUAUAUCUAAUCCGGAAUCCCUGUGUGCGAGAGUGCUCCGAGGGAAAUAUUAUGACGGGAAAGACUUUAUGAAUGCCACGAAACCAAAAGGAUCAUCUCACAAUUGGCGAGCCGUAUUAUUUGGCAGGGAAGCUCUAAAACUCGGUUUGAUCAAGAGGAUGGGAGAAGGGGACUCGAUCAAUGUUUGGGAGAUCCAUGGAUUCCAGACAACUUCGGGUACAAAGCUAUAGUUAAACCCACGCAUGCAAUGAUCACACAAGCAAAUGAGCUCCUCAAGGAGGAUAAUCGUAGCUGGGAUGUUUAGGCUGUCAAGAUGAACUUUGUUCAGAUUGAUGCUGAAGCUAUUUUACGCAUCCCAAUUAACACUGGAGAGGAUUUCUGGGCAUGGCAACCGGAUAAGCGUGGGCAAUUUUCUGUACGUUCAGCAUACAAACUCCUGAUUGAACACCAUGGCAGAUCAGGUGGUGCUUCUAGCUUGUCGAAUGGACUUGGCCUGUAUGGAAAAUCUUAUGAGGUUGGAGAUGCCACCAAAGGUUAGAUGCUUCUGUUGACGAGUGAUCAAGGGGUUUAUACCUUGUCGGGCUGUCCUUAGAGAUCGCCAUGUCGAACACAUACCUUUCUGCGAGGACUGUGGAGACGAUGAGACCAUGCAAACAUGCUCUGUUCGGAUGUACUUGGGCUCAGCAGUUCUGGGACCACGUCAAGGGGAGGACUGGAGUUAAACUUCCUAUGCUCCACCCUAACACUUGGGCACUACAGUAGAUAUUAUUCAGGGGAACUUAAUCAGCAGAAGGGAAGCUUGUAUCAUCUUGUGUGGCGCCUGGGUAGUCUAAUCCGAACGAAAUGCUCGGCAUCAUGCUGAACAGGUCCGAACAGUUGAUCAAUCAAUCUGUUGGACCAUUGAUAUAGCUGCAGAUUUAUCCUUGCUUGGAAAAGAACAGGCGGCUCCUACACUGCGUGUGCUAGAAUGCUGGAAACCACUGCCACAUGAGUGUCUCAAAAUCAAUACUGGGCAUGCCCAGUUCCAGGAACUACUCGGGCAAGGGAGUACUGGCAUGGUUGUGUGUGAUCAUACUGGGAAACUUAUUCGAGCUCAAGCACGGUGGUAUGAAUAUGCUAGUUCUGCCCGGAUGAUGGAGGCAAUGGCAAUAUUGGAUGCUGUGAAUCUGGCUUCAGAUAUGGGAUGGAGGGGAAUCUUGGUUGAAAGUGACGCCCUUGAAGUGGUGAACCUGUGGAAAUCUCAGGAUUUUGCAAAAGCUGAUAUAGUGAGGCCUCUUCAGGAGAUCAAGGAGCCAGGCGGGAACUUCAUUAGUUUUUCUAUUUCUUUUGUAAGAAGAGAAACCAAUAUGGCUGCUCAUCUUACUGCUAAACACGCUAGUGAGGUUCGCAGGAGGUGUCUCUGUAUCAAUAUUGUUCCACAAUUUCUCCGUGAUGUUAUUGGCCGUGAAUGUAUUACCACUGAGUAAUUAAUAAAGCUCCAAAUUAUAAAAUAAAAAAAAAAAAAACCUCAGCAGGCAGCGUCGUCUUGAGGACUGAGGCUGUCAAGCUCGCAUUGGUGCUGCUCAUUGCACGAGGGAAGAGGCAAGCCAAAGGCCAGAAAUAUAGGCUGUGGUUCAGCAACUCAGUAAGCUGAAUCUGAGAGUCUGAACCGAGUUGAUAUGGAGGUGUCCUUCCGGAACUUCAUUGCCAUGAGGUCUUUUGUGAUAGUAAGCUGGAGGAGGUUACUGAUCCAGUUACUAAUGGAACAUGUCCAUAUUAAUUAAUUAGUCACUUUACCAGUGAUCUCAUCAUUUCAUGGUUAAUGUAUCGGUUUCUUGACCUCUGUGAUGCUGAAAGCUUGUGUAUGAGAUCAGGUGAACGGUUGGUUCUCUAGGUUAGUGUCAUGAAUGUAGAAUUUGUAAGACAUUAGAUGCAGCAGUUGAGCAUUUGUAAUGUAACUUUGAAAGCUUUGUAGUGCUAAUCUCAA